RNAcentral lists this transfer RNA (66 nucleotides) under Lasiosphaeria miniovina. RNAcentral describes it as "tRNA-Glu". The record is from RNAcentral. Lineage: Eukaryota; Fungi; Ascomycota; Sordariomycetes; Sordariales; Lasiosphaeriaceae.
UCGGGUGCAGCGGUAACAUCGCUGGCUCUCACUCAGCAGCCCGGGGUUCGACUCCCCGUAUCCGAA